CUGUGGAGUGUACAAGCACUUGUAAGUAGUGUGUUGCUUGUAAUCACAAAAGCAUACACGUUGAAGCAGUAA
RNAcentral lists this small RNA (72 nucleotides) under bovine gut metagenome. RNAcentral's name for it is "RAGATH-18 RNA". It matches the Rfam family "RAGATH-18 RNA". From Rfam's summary of the family: Actinobacteria, Firmicutes, Fusobacteria, Thermotogae (1 example). Nearby to self-cleaving ribozyme genes The record is from RNAcentral.